ACGAUGAUCACUCGUUUUAGGCUACUUAGUAGUCAUUGACCAAGUGAAUCUGAUAAGUGAUCCACUUGGGGAGUACGUCGUCAACGAUUAAACUCAAAGGAAUUGACGGGGGCCCGCACAAGCGGAGGAACAUGUGGUUUAAUUCGAUGAUACGUGAGGACUCUUACCUGGGCUUAAAUGCUGUCUGCAUUGGAGGGAAACCUUCAUGUCCUACGGGACCGCCAGCAAGGUGCUGCAUGGUUGUCGUCAGCUCGUGCCGUGAGGUGUCGGGUUAAGUCCCAUAACGAGCGCAACCCCUAUCGCUAGUUGCCAGCAUGUAAUGGUGGCGACUCUAGCGAGACUGCCGGUGUAAACCGGAGGAAGGUGCGCAUGACGUCAAAUCAGCACGGCCCUUACGUCCAGGGCUACACACGUGUUACAAUGGCCGGUACAAAGAGCAGCCACCUGGCGACAGGGCGCUAAUCUCUAAAACCGUUCUCAGUUCGGAUCGAAGUCUGCAAUUCGACUUCGUGAAGCUCGAUUCGCUAGUAAUCGCGCAUCAGCCAUGGCGCGCUCCUCAGUUCCCGGGCCUGUACACACCGCCCGUCAAGCCA
This 593-nucleotide ribosomal RNA is filed under the name uncultured organism. RNAcentral's name for it is "bacterial SSU rRNA". It matches the Rfam family "Bacterial small subunit ribosomal RNA", at positions 806 to 1404 of the family's 1533-position model. The record is from RNAcentral.